ACCCAGGGCGAAUGCGCCUAUCGAGAACUUGCUCGUCGGCCAAGAACUAAAGUUGGGGUAUCGAACAACGAUUAGAGACCGUUGUAGUCCCAACCACAAACUUUGCUGACUGGCUUUGUGCGAGGUCGAGCUUCGGCGCAUAUCUCGUGCGGGGCCUACGCAAAAGCAUACUCUUCGAGUCUCUUG
RNAcentral lists this ribosomal RNA (186 nucleotides) under Mikrocytiidae sp. Its description in RNAcentral is "partial small subunit ribosomal RNA". It matches the Rfam family "Eukaryotic small subunit ribosomal RNA", at positions 938 to 1112 of the family's 1831-position model. The record is from RNAcentral. Lineage: Eukaryota; Endomyxa; Ascetosporea; Mikrocytida; Mikrocytiidae.